This 227-nucleotide long non-coding RNA is filed under the name Mytilus galloprovincialis (Mediterranean mussel). Lineage: Eukaryota; Metazoa; Mollusca; Bivalvia; Mytilida; Mytilidae. The record is from RNAcentral.
AUUUACUUGAACUUUUGAAGUGCUUGUAUGCAUCAUGGGUGUUAAAAUAUAUGAAGGAGCAAAAAGUGCCUAGGUGAUGUUUUAUAUACAGAUGAAGAAGGAAUCUUAUUUAUUUGUUUACUCCUAUAUAAUUUCAUUACUAGUUAUUUUAAAGUCAUUUUGUUUGAGAUAAUAAGGUCUCCGCCAAAUGUUGGUCCCCUUAUAGUGAUCAGUCUGCCCAUCCGUCC